GGAGAAUGACUGAAGUUCCUUGGCAGUUCACAGAGCCACAGACUGGUAAUUCUGGAUGAAACCAGCAACAUACCGCCUGUUACCGAUGGCCUAUGCCACACCCAGCCUUGCCAAGACCAUAUGGGGUCCUCUCUGAUUGGCAGCUCCCACCAGUUCAGAGAACAGGAGUGUUCCUGGCAAAUGCUGCUUUGGGGUGGUGACCUGUGCAAUGGACUCAUCCAAGCUGUCCCUUGUUGAAGGGAAGCUCUGGGCCCAGGCUCCAUUAGGACCUCCCAUUUUUCUACCUGAAAACAUCCCUCCCUAUGGAAUAGUCUGUGCCAGCCUAAGCAGGGCACAGUGCUGGGGCCUAAGGCACACAGAGGAAGCCCCCCCCCCGAAAACCUUGGAAGUAAGAAAUGGAUGGCCCCAGAGGACACAGCGAUGAUGCUGCCAAUGGCUGGAGAACUGCUCAGCUGAAAAAUGAAGCGACAUAUCUACCCAAGGGCGUCACUGGAGUUUCAGAGAUCAUGUGAAGAGCUGUGCUUAAGACCGGAAGUUCUGGAGGCAGGCUGCUUGCAGUCAAACCUGACUUGGUCACUGACCAGCUGUGCAACGGAAGGCAAAGCAAUGUACGCUCUCUGUGCCUCAGCCUCUAUUGUAAAACAGGUACGAGAAUAAAAGGGCUUGACAAGAAAGUUGUCAUGGGUGUGUUAAUCCAUGUAGAGAGAGCCAGCAUUUUCUAAGUGCUAAAUGAUUGCUCACUAUUAAUAUUUCCGGAAGAGGCUUCGAGGGUAUCUGGUAUCAAAGAGCUCAGUAAUUUGGUUCCCUUCCUAUUUACCCAGAGACCUUAGGUGGGUUGAGAAAUGCUACCAUUCCAGCUUCGGUGACAGAAGGAGGGGGUCCUUAGCUCCCGAGGAGAGUCUCUGAAGCCGAACACUCAUUGUUAUGGGAAAAGCUUCGGCAUCAGCCACACACAAUACAUGAGUCUGGCACUUGCGUGCACCUGAGAGCAUCUUCCCACAGCAUGUCGGAAGGGCCAGGCACCCCGCUUGGUAUUAAUCAUGCUUCAUUCCACCCUGUGGAGUAGGCAGCUAGGAGCUAUUCUCAUUUACACAGUGGUGCCAUAUAGUAAGCCUUCCACAAACGCCUGGAGGAUAAGUGCAUGAAAAACUCAAUGAACACUGCUCCGCUUUCAAGUAACAACAUGAGCAGAUCCACAAUUCCUGGACUAUAUUCUCCAUUGAAGGCUUAACCAUCAACUGCAUUAAAAGAAUCUGCAAAUUCAUAGAAAUUCAAAGGCUUCCUUAGUGACUGAUGGGCACCAUCACCUGUGCUGGCGAUAAGCACCCUUAAGGGUAAG
Molecule: long non-coding RNA, 1339 nt
Organism: Callithrix jacchus (white-tufted-ear marmoset)
Lineage: Eukaryota; Metazoa; Chordata; Mammalia; Primates; Cebidae
Source: RefSeq, a predicted model, not a curated record